RNAcentral lists this ribosomal RNA (603 nucleotides) under Staphylotrichum boninense. Its description in RNAcentral is "eukaryotic LSU rRNA". It matches the Rfam family "Eukaryotic large subunit ribosomal RNA", at positions 38 to 667 of the family's 3401-position model. The record is from RNAcentral. Lineage: Eukaryota; Fungi; Ascomycota; Sordariomycetes; Sordariales; Chaetomiaceae.
GCAUAUCAAUAAGCGGAGGAAAAGAAACCAACAGGGAUUGCCCUAGUAACGGCGAGUGAAGCGGCAACAGCUCAAAUUUGAAAUCUGGCUUCGGCCCGAGUUGUAAUUUGCAGAGGAAGCUUUGGGCGCGGCACCGACCGAGUCCCCUGGAACGGGGCGCCAUAGAGGGUGAGAGCCCCGUAUGGUCGGACGCCUAGCCUGUGUAAAGCUCCUUCGACGAGUCGAGUAGUUUGGGAAUGCUGCUCAAAAUGGGAGGUAAAUUUCUUCUAAAGCUAAAUACCGGCCAGAGACCGAUAGCGCACAAGUAGAGUGAUCGAAAGAUGAAAAGCACUUUGAAAAGAGGGUUAAAUAGCACGUGAAAUUGUUGAAAGGGAAGCGCUUGUGACCAGACUUGCGCCCGGCUGAUCAUCCGGUGUUCUCACCGGUGCACUCUGCCGGGCUCAGGCCAGCAUCGGUUCUCGCGGGGGGAUAAAGGCCCAGGGAACGUGGCUCCUCCGGGAGUGUUAUAGCCCUGGGUGCAAUGCCCUCGCGGGGACCGAGGUUCGCGCAUCUGCAAGGAUGCUGGCGUAAUGGUCAUCAGCGACCCGUCUUGAAACACGGACC